Molecule: ribosomal RNA, 492 nt
Filed under: uncultured bacterium
Lineage: Bacteria
Description: partial 16S ribosomal RNA
Rfam family: Bacterial small subunit ribosomal RNA
Source: RNAcentral
AGUGAACGCUGGCGGUAGGCCUAACACAUGCAAGUCGAACGGCAGCACAGUAAGAGCUUGCUCUUACGGGUGGCGAGUGGCGGACGGGUGAGGAAUACAUCGGAAUCUACUUUUUCGUGGGGGAUAACGUAGGGAAACUUACGCUAAUACCGCAUACGACCUACGGGUGAAAGCAGGGGAUCUUCGGACCUUGCGCGAUUGAAUGAGCCGAUGUCGGAUUAGCUAGUUGGCGGGGUAAAGGCCCACCAAGGCGACGAUCCGUAGCUGGUCUGCGAGGAUGAUCAGCGACACUGGAACUGAGACACGGUCCAGACUCCUACGGGAGGCAGCAGUGGGGAAUAUUGGACAAUGGGCGCAAGCCUGAUCCAGCCAUACCGCGUGGGUGAAGAAGGCCUUCGGGUUGUAAAGCCCUUUUGUUGGGAAAGAAAAGCAGCAGGUUAAUACCCCGCUGUUCUGACGGUACCCAAAGAAUAAGCACCGGCUAACUUCGUG